GGAGGGCAGCAGUGGGGUACGGACAAUGGGAAACCUGAUCCAGCCAUCCCGCGUGUGCGAUGACCUUCGGGUUGUAAAGCACUUUUGGCGGGAAAGAAACGGCGCAGGAUAAUACCCGUGCAAUGAUAACCUGCAGAAUAAGCACCGAUAACUACGUUGCCAGCGGCGCGAUACGUAGGGUGCAAGCGUAUCGGAAUUACUGGGCGCCAAAAGCGUGCGCAGGCGGUUCGGAAGAAAGAUGAAGUGACUUAACUUUGAACUGUUUUUAAACUUCCAGGCUAGGUGUCAGAGGAGCGGAAUUCCGGCAGUGGCCGUAGAUAUGCGGAGGAGCACACCGAUGGCGAAGGCGGCCUCCUGGGAUAACUGACGGCGCUCAUGCGCAACGUGGGGAGCAAACAGGAUGCGGUAG
This 409-nucleotide unclassified non-coding RNA is filed under the name uncultured Bordetella sp. RNAcentral describes it as "partial 16S-23S ribosomal RNA intergenic spacer". It matches the Rfam family "Bacterial small subunit ribosomal RNA", at positions 343 to 785 of the family's 1533-position model. The record is from RNAcentral. Lineage: Bacteria; Pseudomonadati; Pseudomonadota; Betaproteobacteria; Burkholderiales; Alcaligenaceae.